GAUGUAGGUCACUGAUGUCUGUGUAGAUAGGGAGCUGUGAUGAGAACAAGAGGCCAGACCACAUCCAGACUCCUUAAGGGAAGGCCUAUUUCUGUUUUGGAAACUUUUCAAAGUCAGGGACUUGUCCAAUCCAACCUCCCCACUGCUCCUAGCUCCUGAGGCUCAGGACCCUUGGCUUCUCUCCUUCCUGCUCAGGGUCCUGCAGCAUUGCCUCUGCUCAGCCAUGCUCUUGCUGCUCGUCCCGGUGCUCCAGGUGAUUUUUACCCUGGGAGGAACCAGAGCCCAGUCGGUGACCCAGCUUGACAGCCACGUCCCUGUUUCUGAAGGAACGCCGGUGCUGCUGAGGUGCAACUACUCAUCGUCUUAUUCACCAUCUCUCUUCUGGUAUGUGCAACACCCCAACCAAGGACUCCAGCUUCUCCUGAAGUAUUUAUCAGGACCCACCGUGGUUAAAGGCAUCAACGGUUUUGAGGCUGAGUUUAAAAAGAGUGAAACCUCCUUCCACCUGACGAAAUCCUCAGCCCAUGUGAGCGACGCGGCUGAGUACUUCUGUGCUAUGAGUGACACAGUGCUUGAGACUGCAGGAGAGCUGAACACAAACCUCCUGAGAUGCUGAGACUUUCUGUGACUCAAGAACUCAACCUUGAAGUCUGUCUUGUAAUAUUAAAUAGCCAUUCCAAGUUUCUGAUGCUUAUUGAUGUAUGCUGUAUCUUUUUCAUCUAUUUAUUUUUAAACUAUCUAUACUUUAAAUUUAAAGUGUGUUUCCUUUAGGUAGCUUUAUAUAUAGGGUCUUUCUAUUCACUAUGUCAAUCUCUGGUUUUGCAUUGGCAAGUUUAGAUAAUUAUAAUUUAAUGUAUAUUGAUGAAAUUGGAUUUUAGUAUACUAUGUUAUUAUUGUGUUUUUUUCCACCCUUAUUUAUUUUUUGUUGUUCUUUUUUUUUACUGACACUUUUUGGAUUAUUUGAAUAUUUUUAACACUAUUUUUAUCUAUGGACUUCUUUGGUUAUAUUUCCAUAUGUUUUGAGUGGUUGCUCUGGAGAUUAUAAUACAUAUGACUAACUCUCCAGGGUCUUCUGUGAUGUUGUACCUCUUUAUGUAAAAUGUAGAAAUUUUUGUA
Non-coding RNA from Pongo pygmaeus (Bornean orangutan), 1116 nucleotides. NCBI's taxonomy places the organism in Eukaryota, Metazoa, Chordata, Mammalia, Primates, Hominidae. The record is from the annotation of a RefSeq genome assembly.